UACGUAGGGGGCAAGCGUUGUCCGGAUUUACUGGGCGUAAAGAGCGUGUAGGCGGCCAGGCAGGUCCGUUGUGAAAACUGGAGGCUUAACCUCCAGACGUCGACGGAAACCGCGUGGCUAGAGUCCGGAAGAGGAGAGUGGAAUUCCUGGUGUAGCGGUGAAAUGCGCAGAUAUCAGGAAGAACACCAAUGGCGAAGGCAGCUCUCUGGGACGGUACUGACGCUGAGACGCGAAAGCGUGGGGAGCGAACAGG
RNAcentral lists this ribosomal RNA (253 nucleotides) under uncultured bacterium. Its description in RNAcentral is "partial 16S ribosomal RNA". It matches the Rfam family "Bacterial small subunit ribosomal RNA", at positions 524 to 776 of the family's 1533-position model. The record is from RNAcentral.